RNAcentral lists this transfer RNA (77 nucleotides) under Deltaproteobacteria bacterium. RNAcentral's name for it is "tRNA-Asp". It matches the Rfam family "tRNA". Rfam says of the family: Transfer RNA (tRNA) molecules are approximately 80 nucleotides in length. Their secondary structure includes four short double-helical elements and three loops (D, anti-codon, and T loops). Further hydrogen bonds mediate the characteristic L-shaped molecular structure. tRNAs have two regions of fundamental functional importance: the anti-codon, which is responsible for specific mRNA codon recognition, and the 3' end, to which the tRNAs corresponding amino acid is attached (by aminoacyl-tRNA synthetases). tRNAs cope with the degeneracy of the genetic code in two manners: having more than one tRNA (with a specific anti-codon) for a particular amino acid; and 'wobble' base-pairing, i.e. permitting non-standard base-pairing at the 3rd anti-codon position. Lineage: Bacteria; Pseudomonadati; Myxococcota; Myxococcia. RNAcentral also lists the same sequence under 1 other name. The record is from RNAcentral.
GGGGAUGUAGUGAAGUGGUUCAACACGCCGGCCUGUCACGCCGGAGAUCGCGGGUUCAAAUCCCGUCGUCCCCGCCA